AAACAUGUUAAAAUAGUCAAAUUUAUUAUAUAAUUCAACAUACAACUAAUCUUCUUCUAAAAUAUCAUCUCUAAUGUGAUAUCCUUUAUGAUGUCCACUGAUAGUAGGAUCUGAAGAGCUUGAUAUGGGAUUAUUCAUUUGAAUGUGUUGUAUGAUGAAUUGCAUUUGCUCAUUUUGUUUGUACAUCAACUCAACUUGUUUGUGUAUGCGUUCACUUUGCUCUUCAUGACUUUUCAUCAAUACCUCCGUCUUUUCUUCAAGUGUCCACUCCUUGGAAUCUUUUGCCAUAAGUUCAUAAUUUAGAUUUUGAAUAAUCUCAUGCAUUUCUUCUAUUUGAUGGACUACUGGAGCUUGGCUUGUAGCAGAAUAACCACUUGUGGAAUUAUUAAACCUUUUGCUCAAUACACCAAGUCCAUAAACAUUCCCUUUAGUUUUAAUUUUUUUUUUACAUUCCGUUGCAGAUUUUGUUUCGUUUUAUUAUUC
This 483-nucleotide long non-coding RNA is filed under the name Phaseolus vulgaris (common bean). RNAcentral describes it as "long non-coding RNA (PVUL_LNC002277)". The record is from RNAcentral. Lineage: Eukaryota; Viridiplantae; Streptophyta; Magnoliopsida; Fabales; Fabaceae.